RNAcentral lists this ribosomal RNA (302 nucleotides) under uncultured bacterium. RNAcentral describes it as "bacterial SSU rRNA". It matches the Rfam family "Bacterial small subunit ribosomal RNA", at positions 60 to 389 of the family's 1533-position model. The record is from RNAcentral.
AGUCGACGGAUGUAGCAAUACAUUAGUGGCGCACGGGUGAGUAACGCGUGGGAACGUGCCUUUCAGUUCAGGAUAACAGCGGGAAACUGCUGCUAAUACUGGAUAUUCCCCCCGGGGGAAAGAUUUAUCGCUGAAAGAUCGGCCCGCGUAAGAUUAGGUAGUUGGUGGGGUAAUGGCCUACCAAGCCUACGAUCUUUAGCUGGUCUGAGAGGAUGAUCAGCCACACUGGAACUGAGACACGGUCCAGACUCCUACGGGAGGCAGCAGUGGGGAAUAUUGGACAAUGGGGGAAACUCUGAUCC